This 75-nucleotide transfer RNA is filed under the name subsurface metagenome. RNAcentral's name for it is "tRNA-Ile". It matches the Rfam family "tRNA". Rfam says of the family: Transfer RNA (tRNA) molecules are approximately 80 nucleotides in length. Their secondary structure includes four short double-helical elements and three loops (D, anti-codon, and T loops). The record is from RNAcentral.
AGACCUGUAGUUCAAUGGUUAGAACAAAUGCCUGAUGAGCAUUAGAUCUCAGUUCGAUUCUGGGUAGGUCUACCA